Stereum hirsutum FP-91666 SS1 is the source of this 93-nucleotide non-coding RNA. NCBI's taxonomy places the organism in Eukaryota, Fungi, Basidiomycota, Agaricomycetes, Russulales, Stereaceae. The record is from the annotation of a RefSeq genome assembly.
GGGUCUAUAGUGUAGUGGUUGCACGCUCGAGAUCUAUAGGAUUCCAUGGGAAUAGAUUAUUGAGAGGGGCCAGUUCGAUUCUGGCUAGACUUU